RNAcentral lists this ribosomal RNA (484 nucleotides) under uncultured bacterium. Its description in RNAcentral is "partial 16S ribosomal RNA". It matches the Rfam family "Bacterial small subunit ribosomal RNA", at positions 899 to 1397 of the family's 1533-position model. The record is from RNAcentral.
ACUCAAAUGAAUUGACGGGGACCCACACAAGCGGUGGAGCAUGGGGUUUAAUUCGAUGAUAAGCGAAGCACCUCACCCAGACUUGACAUGCCGAGAAGUUUUGCGAAAGCAGAAUGUGCCGCAAGGAACUCGGACACAGGCGUUGCACGGUCGUCGUCAGCUCGUGCCUUGAGGUGUACUGUUAAGUCAGCGAACGAGCGCAACCCUCAUCCUCUGUUGUAUUUUCAGGGGAGACUGCCGCCUCCAAGGCGGAGGAAGGUGGGGAUGACGUCAGAUCAGCGUGACCUUUAUGUUUGGGGCGACACCCGUGCUACAAUGGCCGGUACAAAGGGCAGCGAAAUCGCGAGAUGGAGCCAAUCCCAGAAAACCGGUCUAAGUUCGGAUUGAAGUCUGAAACUCGACUUCAUGAAGCUGGAAUCGCUAGUAACCGUGGAUCAGCCAUGCCACGGUGAAUAUGUUCCUGGGUCUUGUACACACCGCCCGU